RNAcentral lists this long non-coding RNA (234 nucleotides) under Carica papaya (papaya). RNAcentral's name for it is "long non-coding RNA (CPAP_LNC011896)". The record is from RNAcentral. Lineage: Eukaryota; Viridiplantae; Streptophyta; Magnoliopsida; Brassicales; Caricaceae.
CUGCAUGGUCACUGCACCUUCCUUCUUCUUCCUCUUCUUUUUCUUCUUCUUCUUCUUCUUCACUCGUGCAACCCAGUUGUUCCUUCUCUUCUCAAUCAGCCACCUCUCUUUCUAAUAAACCCUUAUCGAGUUUUCUUAAAUUCUUUUUGCUAACCACUCAAUCUCCUUCAAACGAAUCUGGACUAUUCUUUCUACCUCUUCAUCUCGGCCGUUUAUUUUUUGCAAUAUGGAUCA